AUUGAACGCUGGCGGCAGGCCUAACACAUGCAAGUCGAACGGUAGCACAGAGAGCUUGCUCUCGGGUGACGAGUGGCGGACGGGUGAGUAACGUCUGGGAAACUGCCCGAUGGAGGGGGAUAACUACUGGAAACGGUAGCUAAUACCGCAUAAUGUCGCAAGACCAAAGAGGGGGACCUUCGGGCCUCUUGCUAUCGGAUGAACCCAUAUGGGAUUAGCUAGUAGGUGAGGUAAUGGCUCACCUGGGCGACGAUCUCUAGCUGGUCUGAGAGGAUGACCGGCCACACUGGAACUGAGACACGGUCCAGACUCCUACGGGAGGCAGCAGUGGGGAAUAUUGCACAAUGGGGGAAACCCUGAUGCAGCCAUGCCGCGUGUGUGAAGAAGGCCUUAGGGUUGUAAAGCACUUUCAGUCGGGAGGAAGGGAUUGAGGUUAAUAACCUUAAUCAUUGACGUUACUGACAGAAGAAGCACCGGCUAACUUCGUGCCAGCCGCCGCCGUAA
RNAcentral lists this ribosomal RNA (504 nucleotides) under uncultured bacterium. RNAcentral describes it as "partial 16S ribosomal RNA". It matches the Rfam family "Bacterial small subunit ribosomal RNA", at positions 30 to 523 of the family's 1533-position model. The record is from RNAcentral.